This 28-nucleotide non-coding RNA is filed under the name Mus musculus (house mouse). The record is from RNAcentral. Lineage: Eukaryota; Metazoa; Chordata; Mammalia; Rodentia; Muridae.
UGAGAGUGUUGCCCCAGGGCUCCUGGUA